RNAcentral lists this non-coding RNA (27 nucleotides) under Mus musculus (house mouse). Lineage: Eukaryota; Metazoa; Chordata; Mammalia; Rodentia; Muridae. The record is from RNAcentral.
UGGAAGACAGGUGCUUUUCUUGAGGGC